AACGAACGCUGGCGGCAUGCCUAACACAUGCAAGUCGAACGAUGCCUUCGGGCAUAGUGGCGCACGGGUGCGUAACGCGUGGGAAUCUGCCCUUGGGUUCGGAAUAACUCAGAGAAAUUUGAGCUAAUACCGGAUGAUGACGUAAGUCCAAAGAUUUAUCGCCCAAGGAUGAGCCCGCGUAAGAUUAGCUAGUUGGUGGGGUAAAGGCCUACCAAGGCGACGAUCUUUAGCUGGUCUGAGAGGAUGAUCAGCCACACUGGGACUGAGACACGGCCCAGACUCCUACGGGAGGCAGCAGUGGGGAAUAUUGGACAAUGGGCGAAAGCCUGAUCCAGCAAUGCCGCGUGAGUGAUGAAGGCCUUAGGGUUGUAAAGCUCUUUUACCAGGGAUGAUAAUGACAGUACCUAGAGAAUAAGCUCCGGCUAACUCCGUGCCAGCAGCCGCGGUAAAGUCUGUACU
Molecule: ribosomal RNA, 459 nt
Filed under: uncultured bacterium
Lineage: Bacteria
Description: bacterial SSU rRNA
Rfam family: Bacterial small subunit ribosomal RNA
Source: RNAcentral